Molecule: ribosomal RNA, 674 nt
Filed under: uncultured metazoan
Lineage: Eukaryota; Metazoa
Description: partial 18S ribosomal RNA
Source: RNAcentral
GAGCUCUCAAUCUGUCAAUCCUUCCAGUGUCCGGGCCUGGUGAGAUUUCCCGUGUUGAGUCAAAUUAAGCCGCAGGCUCCACUCCUGGUGGUGCCCUUCCGUCAAUUCCUUUAAGUUUCAGCUUUGCAACCAUACUUCCCCCGGAACCCAAAACCUUUGGUUUCCCGGAAGCUGCCCGGAGAGCCUACAAUCUGCGUCUCCGGAUCGCUAGGUGGCAUCGUUUAUGGUUAGAACUAGGGCGGUAUCUGAUCGCCAUCGAACCUCUAACUUUCGUUCUUGAUUAAUGAAAACAUUCUUGGCAAAUGCUUUCGCAGUAGUUAGUCUUCAGACGGUCCAAGAAUUUCACCUCUGUCGUCUGAAUACUAAUGCCCCCGACUGUCCCUGUUAAUCAUUACGUCGAUUUCCGAAAACCAACAAAAUAGAAACGACGUCCUAUUCUAUUAUUCCAUGCACGAAUAUUCAAGCGUGUAAAGCCUGCUUUGAGCACUCUAAUUUUUUCAAAGUAAACCUGACGGCACCCCGAGACACCCGAUUAAGAGCACCUUGGAGCCUCCGCCAAAAACACGAGCAAAUGGGGCAGUAGCGACGAAUAUCGAACCGCCCCCUGCUCGCCGAAAUCCAACUACGAGCUUUUUAACCGCAACAACUUUAAUAUACGCUAUUGGAGCUGGAAU